GGAGGGGGCUAGCGUUGUUCGGAUUUACUGGGCGUAAAGGGCGCGUAGGCGGUAUGCCAUGUCAGGGGUGAAAGGCCUGGGCUCAACCCAGGAACUGCCUUUGAAACUGGCAAACUAGAGUCCGAUAGAGGAUGGCGGAAUUCCCAGUGUAGAGGUGAAAUUCGUAGAUAUUGGGAAGAACACCAGUGGCGAAGGCGGCCAUCUGGACCGGCACUGACGCUGAGGCGCGAAAGCGUGGGGAGCAAACAGGGAUUAGAUACCCUGGUAGUCCACGCCGUAAACGAUGUGUGCUAGACGUUGGGGGCCCUUAGGCCCUGAGUGUCGCAGCUAACGCGUUAAGCACACCGCCUGGGGAGUACGGCCGCAAGGUUA
This 372-nucleotide ribosomal RNA is filed under the name uncultured organism. RNAcentral describes it as "partial 16S ribosomal RNA". It matches the Rfam family "Bacterial small subunit ribosomal RNA", at positions 527 to 896 of the family's 1533-position model. The record is from RNAcentral.